AAUAAGAAUACCCGGCAUCUUUUAAAUCUAUCAUGGCAGUGAUGGAAAUUAUAUUUUUUUUGUAUGCGAAAAAUCGGAAACCAAAAAUAUAAUAAAUAUAGUAUAAAAGCAGUGGUGAUAUAAAAAAAUUUAGGAAAAAAGUGAUAUAUAUAUAUUAUUGAGUAUAAUUAUCAUCUCUAAACCAAGUCGGUCAAAAAGAUAGUGUGAGUUCUGAGUGGAUCGAUGAUAACCUAUCAAGAUUUUAUCCUACCAAAGAAGAUUUAUAAAAAUUUUGCAAGAAAGAAGAAAGAUGGAACGCUCUAUGGAAAUAAAGAAGUCUGUUCAAGAGUCAUUAAUCUUAUUCGUAGAUAUUGCCAAGAAGAGCAUAUAGCGUUAGACGGAAAAUACUACUUUGUAACACGGAAAUUAAUAACUGCACUGUGUAUGAAACGAAAAAUACGACCAAAAAUAAACUGCAAGUUGGCAAUGCUUUAAAGAAAAAUAUCCUGCAAACAAAAUAAAAUUCCUAAUAUGCAAUAUAAACUGGAUUCCAACAUUCUCUGAUAUUAGAUUCUGGAUAUUAGAAAAUUUUCUCGGUGAAUUACAGAGGAAAGGGACAUUUUUAAUGCUGACAAACUGAGAUGCCAAAGGAAAUACUGAGACACGAAUAGAAGUAAUAAGAAAAAAAUCUGUGAAGUCUGUGACAACAUCAAUCUUCUAUAAAAAUGGAAUUUUUAAUAUUUACCAAGAGAAUCAUCACAAUUAUAAAUUGUGACUAAAAUAGUACUAUAAAUAGAUCAUAGAUUAAAUUUUAAGAAAUACAUGGUUAUAAUUUAAAAAAUUGUUUAAAAAACAAGGUGAAACAUACACUUUGUUGAGAAUACUUGUUAAAGAUAUCGUUCGUAGAUGAUCUUAAAAUAUAAUAGAAAAAAAAAUUAACAAAAUCGGAACAUAAUUUAAACUAAUUAGAAUAUAAUAUAUUUGUGAUUGAAAUUUUAGCUAUUUAUUACUUAUCAAUUUUUAAUUGCAUAUUAUUUGCAAUGAAAUACAUAAGAUAUAACGUAAAAUAUAACAUAAAAAAAUCAUAGCAACAAUAGUAGAAAGAAAAUCUGAAAUAUGUAGAUAUGAUGACGAACAUAAAUAAAAAAGAAGAUAUAGUACCAAAAGGCUCCACCCAAGAGAAAUUAGAAUAAUUAAUCUAGAAUAAUUGUUGAAACUAUUAUGUACAGCCAUACGCUCGAUAGUAAUCAUAUUAGAUUCCUUGUAUUACAAGUAAUACCGACCACGUGGAAAUUACUGCAUUUGAAGAUCCAUUUAUGGACUUCUAUACAAAAAUCUAUUUCUUAUAACUGUAAAUUUCAUUAUCGUUUCUGUAAAUUUAAUUUUCAUAUAUCCUUAACUUAAUAAAUUCUCUAACUUGUAUUAGAUUACUUCUAUCGAACAUGAAAAAUGUGAAAGUAAAGAAUACAAUUAUAUUGAAAUGUGCUUAUUCAUUUUAAGAAGUUCUAUAAUGGUUCUUCGAUGCAGUCGAUGCAAAUUCAUUUGUUGUUUAAAUCGCGAAACGCAAACGAACAAAUACUGUUCCUACUUUGCGACUUUUUGUUUUCAUUUUAGCGAUACAAACAUUCGAGUGAUCGUUGAUAUUAGUCGUUUAAUAACAUUGUUAUAAUAACAUCGUUUUUGUUGAUAUUAGAUGAAAACAAUGAUUUCGUCUUCAAAAUUUAAUGAUCUCCAAAUGUUAAAAAAAAUUAUUUUAUAUUUAACGCCUGCUUCGAAUAAAAUAUUAAUUUAUUAUAGUUCGCAAAGUAUUAAUUUUUAGGUUUUCACGUUUAGAAAGAAAAAAUUUCGAUAUUUGUUCGUCGUUAUGCAAAAGGAAACUAUUUGCUAUGUUUUAUCCUUUUCAUGAUAAACGUUUUAAAAUAAGAAUAAUUAUUCUUAUACUCAAAAAUGAGAUAUGCAGCAAACUUUAAGAAUGUUCGGCAAAACGCUUUAUAGUAACGAGUACUUCGCUUGAAUGAAACUGUAGCGAACAUUGACCUCUGAUCAGGGUCGAGAAUGCACUCGCCUCUUGUUUUGUUUACCUAUUUUCUUACUAAGUUCCCGAUACAAUACAAUAUAGAAAUACAAUACAACUUUAUUUCAUUAUGAAUAUUAUAUAUAUAUAUAUAUAUAUAUAUAUAUAUAUAUACAUA
This is a long non-coding RNA of Vespula vulgaris, 2171 nucleotides long. RefSeq lists it as uncharacterized. The transcript is spliced from 4 exons. The record is from RefSeq and is a predicted model, not a curated record. Lineage: Eukaryota; Metazoa; Arthropoda; Insecta; Hymenoptera; Vespidae.